ACAAUGGGGGUUCAGUGGUAGAAUUCCCACCUUUCAUGGGGGAGACCUGGGCUAGAUUCCUGGCCAGUGCA
This 71-nucleotide transfer RNA is filed under the name Loxodonta africana (African savanna elephant). It matches the Rfam family "tRNA". From Rfam's summary of the family: Transfer RNA (tRNA) molecules are approximately 80 nucleotides in length. Their secondary structure includes four short double-helical elements and three loops (D, anti-codon, and T loops). Lineage: Eukaryota; Metazoa; Chordata; Mammalia; Proboscidea; Elephantidae. The record is from Rfam by way of RNAcentral.